GGUUAUCGCUAGCAUUUUGGCGGCCCCCCCUCCUGCCUUGACCCUUUAAAAUCUAUGUUAUAGAUUUCCAAUUUAACAUCAUAGGCAGUAGGACUAGGAGCCCCCCAAAGACUAAUGUCAAUAACAGUCUUAACUCUCUUAUUAGUCAUAAGCAUACAAAGAAUAACAACUUAUGAUCCACAAGCAAAGUGAUGUUAUCAUUUCCAAAGAAGUGAAAGAUAAACAAGACUAAGGACAAUCCAAAUUUCAUAUAUUUCUUUCUUUUUAGCCAACAGAUAAUUCAACAUUGAUUUCUCAAAGAAUAUAACCAACAAGACUACCACAACCCAACUUUUCCCUGCUGGAGCCAAGGACCAGUGGCAAUGUACAUGUCCUUCACUAAAUGUAGCCUAUGCUAAGUCAUGCAAGUGUUAUUUUCUGAAUUGCUCACAAUGCAAGACAAAUCCAGAACAACAAAACCACAAUCAAAGACCAUUACUAAAAACAUGUAAGCAGCAAAGUUGCCUUAAACUCCAAUAAAAAGACCUGUUGGACCGUAAAUUACCUUGAUAAUUCGAAGCACACGCGA
This 568-nucleotide unclassified non-coding RNA is filed under the name Hevea brasiliensis (rubber tree). The record is from RNAcentral. Lineage: Eukaryota; Viridiplantae; Streptophyta; Magnoliopsida; Malpighiales; Euphorbiaceae.